RNAcentral lists this ribosomal RNA (1234 nucleotides) under Anopheles funestus (African malaria mosquito). RNAcentral's name for it is "eukaryotic small subunit ribosomal RNA". It matches the Rfam family "Eukaryotic small subunit ribosomal RNA", at positions 4 to 1116 of the family's 1831-position model. Lineage: Eukaryota; Metazoa; Arthropoda; Insecta; Diptera; Culicidae. The record is from RNAcentral.
CUGGUUGAUCCUACCAGUAAUAUACGCUUGUCUCAAAGGUUAAGCCAUGCAUGUCUAAGUACAAACAUAAAUGAAUGUGAAACCGCAUAAGGCUCAGUAUAACAGCUAUAAUUCACAAGAUCAUCCUACCACUAGUUACUUGGAUAACUGUGGAAAAUCCAGAGCUAAUACAUGCAACAUGCCGGGACUGUUGCCCUCGCGGGUAGCUGAACUGGUGCACUUAUUAGUUAAACCAAUCGCCUCCGGGCGGCUUGAGUUGAAGUCUGGAUAAGGACGCAGAUCGUAUGGUCGCUUGUCGACUGACGACAGAUCUUUCAAAUGUCUGCCCUAUCAACUAUUGAUGGUAGUGUAGAGGACUACCAUGGUUGCGACGGGUAACGGGGAAUCAGGGUUCGAUUCCGGAGAGGGAGCCUGAGAAAUGGCUACCACAUCCAAGGAAGGCAGCAGGCGCGUAAAUUACCCAAUCCCAGUACGGGGAGGUAGUGACGAGAAAUAACAAUAUGGACCUCUCUAACGAUGGUCCAUAAUUGGAAUGAGUUGAGUAUAAAUCCUUCAACAAGGAUCAAGUGGAGGGCAAGUCUGGUGCCAGCAGCCGCGGUAAUUCCAGCUCCACUAGCGUAUAUUAAAGUUGUUGCGGUUAAAACGUUCGAAGUUGAUUGCCCGUCCAGACACGUGACCGCCACGGGCGCCCGGUUACACGCCGGGGCCGUUCGUGCGCGCGCUCACGGCUGCGACUCACAAUGGUGUACUUGGGCGUUACUCUGUGAACGAGUACCGUGCUACCGGUUAACUCCGGCACGGGCUCCUCAUGGUGCUCAAGAUACUCACAUUUACCUUGAACAAAUUAGAGUGCUCAAAGCAGGCUAAGACAAAGCGUCCGGCCCCCCCGUGGGGUUGGCGUUGGCCGAGAAUAAUCUUGCAUGGAAUAAUGGAAUAUGACCUCGGUUUAUACGAUUUCGUUGGUUUGUCAGAAACCUAGAGGUAAUGAUUAACAGAAGUAGUUGGGGGCAUUGGUAUUACGGCGCGAGAGGUGAAAUUCGUAGACCGUCGUAGGACCAACUGAAGCGAAAGCGUUUGCCAUGGAUGCUUUCUUUAAUCAAGACGAAAGUUAGAGGAUCGAAGGCGAUUAGAUACCGCCCUAGUUCUAACCGUAAACGAUGCCAAUUUAGCAAUUGGGAGACGCUACCCCAUUCGGUGCUCUCAGUCGCUUCCGGGAAACCAAAAUCGGGUUCCG